CCUGAUGACAAUAGCGAGUUGGUCCCACCCCUUCCCAUUCCGAACAGGGCCGUGAAACGACUCAGCGCCGAUGAUAGUACGGAUUACCCGUGUGAAAGUAGGACAUCGUCAGGC
Molecule: ribosomal RNA, 114 nt
Filed under: Burkholderiales bacterium
Lineage: Bacteria; Pseudomonadati; Pseudomonadota; Betaproteobacteria; Burkholderiales
Source: RNAcentral